GAUUCCGUAGCUCAGCCGGUAGAGCAUUACACUUUUAAUGUAAGGGUCCCGGGUUCGAGUCCCGGCGGAAUCA
RNAcentral lists this transfer RNA (73 nucleotides) under Thermoanaerobaculum aquaticum. RNAcentral describes it as "tRNA-Lys". It matches the Rfam family "tRNA". From Rfam's summary of the family: Transfer RNA (tRNA) molecules are approximately 80 nucleotides in length. Their secondary structure includes four short double-helical elements and three loops (D, anti-codon, and T loops). The record is from RNAcentral. Lineage: Bacteria; Pseudomonadati; Acidobacteriota; Thermoanaerobaculia; Thermoanaerobaculales; Thermoanaerobaculaceae. RNAcentral also lists the same sequence under 2 other names.